UACGAAGGGGGCUAGCGUUGUUCGGAAUUACUGGGCGUAAAGCGCACGUAGGCGGAUAUUUAAGUCAGGGGUGAAAUCCCAGAGCUCAACUCUGGAACUGCCUUUGAUACUGGGUAUCUCGAGUAUGGAAGAGGUGAGUGGAAUUCCGAGUGUAGAGGUGAAAUUCGUAGAUAUUCGGAGGAACACCAGUGGCGAAGGCGGCUCACUG
This 208-nucleotide ribosomal RNA is filed under the name uncultured bacterium. Its description in RNAcentral is "partial 16S ribosomal RNA". It matches the Rfam family "Bacterial small subunit ribosomal RNA", at positions 524 to 731 of the family's 1533-position model. The record is from RNAcentral.